RNAcentral lists this ribosomal RNA (405 nucleotides) under uncultured bacterium. RNAcentral describes it as "bacterial SSU rRNA". It matches the Rfam family "Bacterial small subunit ribosomal RNA", at positions 355 to 772 of the family's 1533-position model. The record is from RNAcentral.
UGGGGAAUAUUGCGCAAUGGGCGGAAGCCUGACGCAGCGACGCCGCGUGGGGGAUGACGGCCUUCGGGUUGUAAACCUCUUUCAGCAGGGACGAAGCGGAAGUGACGGUACCUGCAGAAGAAGCACCGGCCAACUACGUGCCAGCAGCCGCGGUAAUACGUAGGGUGCAAGCGUUGUCCGGAAUUAUUGGGCGUAAAGAGCUUGUAGGCGGUUUGUCGCGUCUGCCGUGAAAAUCCGGGGCUCAACCCCGGACUUGCGGUGGGUACGGGCAGACUAGAGUGUGGUAGGGGAGACUGGAAUUCCUGGUGUAGCGGUGAAAUGCGCAGAUAUCAGGAGGAACACCGAUGGCGAAGGCAGGUCUCUGGGCCACUACUGACGCUGAGAAGCGAAAGCGUGGGGAGCGAA